Molecule: long non-coding RNA, 4106 nt
Organism: Rosa rugosa (rugosa rose)
Lineage: Eukaryota; Viridiplantae; Streptophyta; Magnoliopsida; Rosales; Rosaceae
Exons: 4
Source: RefSeq, a predicted model, not a curated record
CCAUCUCAUCUUAUUUCCAAUUUUUAGUUCUGUUCGAUACUCGACCAAAAAAAAAAAAAAAAAAGUUCUGUUCGACACUACUUUUUUCCUCUCUCUCGCACACAGCUCCUCAUUAUCUCUAAGCUACUUGAAGAAAAACUCUGAGCUCAAGCCUCAAAUGUCUCAAUCUAUCGUCUAAAAGCUUUGAGGUCAACAACACCAUCUCUUAUUAUCUUGGUUCAACUCAAUUUCCAUUUCACUUCUUCGUGUUUUGAGGUUUAGAACAUUGAGAAAUCCUCUCCUUGAGUCCAAGAACAAUUGAUUUCUCAGGUUGAGAUGACUGUAUGCUGUGACUUGUGGUUCAGUUCCUGAUUUUGGAGAAAUUUUUAGUAGCCCUGACCCAGUGUCCGCUGCAGCUUCAACCAAAGCUAGAAUGCGUUGCACACAAGAACUUCAUGAGGUCUUUGUUGAAGCUGUCAACCAGCUUGGUGGUGGUGAAAGAGUCACUCCUAAGGGUAUCUUAAACGUCAUGAUGGUUGAAGGCUUCACAAUGUAUCAUGUAAAAAGCCAUUUACAGUUCAUUCUUCUCAUGUGUUCAGUCAUCCACCAAUAACUUUUUCUUGGCCUGAAGACCUUGAACUUGCUCUUGAAGCCAAGAAGUUACAAGUUCAACAUGGGAAUAGCACUGUGAAUGCCUUUUCAAGGUAAACAAUACUGCAUGAUUAUGCUUCCUAUAUGUGCAGUUUCUAUAUUACCAAAUAGGGUUUCUGUUCAGCUCAACUGCUGCUUACAUUAGUUCUCAUAAUUUUUGUUGAGUGGAAGCAUGUACGACUUUCCACAGGGACUUGAAAGCUGCUAAUCUUUUGAUGGAUGGAAUGGAGUAAGAGAUAAUUUUUCUUUAUGUUGCAUUUGUCUAUUCCUUUAAGCUCUGUAACAUAGUUCACUGUUUUCACUCACUUACAAAUAUUGGACUUUUGAUCUCUUAUUGUCUCACUAGAAGAAUGUCUCUGUUUGGUUACAAUGUCUCCUUUAAGCUUUGUAUGCCCGACUGAUUCAUAGAAUUAAUGUUUACUUGCGGUUCUUAUUUUAAUUAUUCCUGGUUGAUUUGAUAAAUGGUGGGAAUAUAUGGCGUUGCUCAAAGGAAAUUGGGAUUAUGAAGGAUUGACACUGGCUGUCAAUACCAAUUCAUAUUUUCAAUCUCUAGUGCUGAUCAUAAUGAAUAUGAUUAUAGUAGAGUUUUGGGUGAAUUGAUUGUACUGGAUACUUACUUAUCUUCUGUACUCUCUACUGGUGUAUUUUCAAGUUUGGUAAUUGUGUGGUUAAAGUAUUGUUCUGCUGCAGUUUCUAGGUAUAUCUUGAGUCAUUGAUUACCAGAUUUUCACCAUGAGGGGAGCUUGUUCUAGGAAGAGAAACCAUCAAGAUGAUGAAGAUAAUUUUCCUAGAGGGAUUUCCAGAAGAUAUUCCAAAAGUAGGUGUUCAAAGUGCUUGGCAACCUCCUUCUCUCGACUUGCUAUAGAUAUUCAACACGAAAAAGGGCAAUGCCCAUCCCUCAUGGACUUCUACGUACGGCAAAUACGUGAGGUAAUUGUUUUUCUGAAUGCUUCUUGUACAUACCUCCAAUAAUAUGGAGUAUUUACUACGUCACCAAGCAUAAGUAACACCCACUUUGGGACAUCCACAAGACAUGGCAAGGCCCAACCGAGACAUACAUCGUGUAGCCCUAUGUUCAGGCUACGCGGCGGUAUCCGGAAGUCGCAAAUCCGCCACCGGGAAGCCACCUUCCCGCCCUUGCCAAGAUGGCACCACAACAUAGCUUUCUACAUGUUAAAUAGACUAGAAUAGUAACUUUGCUUGUCCCACAUCGAAGAAUAAGUAGAGGAGAUGGCUUCCUUGAUCUAUAAAAGGAAUGCCUCCUCCCACAACUCAACACAUUCAUUACAUCUCUUGUAAUCUUGUUAGGCCGCAAGGCUCGACACACUAGUAUAGCUUUCAAGUGGACGUAGUCUCCCGCUCAUGCGGAGGCGAACCACUAUACAUCUUGUGUCAAAUCUCUCUCUCUCUUUAUUUAUAGCUAACUAGGAUCCCCAAGGAUCUUAACGUUAACAUUGGCGCCGUUUGUGGGAAGCCAACACAAUGGCUUCGUCACCUACCAUGAGCUAAGUCUGCUCAGCGGAGUUUGAAGAAAUUCCUUCCUUCUUUGAGUUUAUGUUUGAAUUAAUGUUUCUUGGCGGCAACUAGAGCAGAGUGUGCAGAAAUUUGCACCUUGCAGGCUGGUCAACACGUGGUCAACGCCCAGCAGAGUUAGUCAACGCCCAUGGAGUGGUCAAAACUUGCAGAAACACCAACAUUGGGGCGGUCAAAGCUUGGUCAACGCCCGGCGAGGUUGGUCAACGCCCGGCGGGGUUGGUCAACGCCCAUCAGGCUUGGUCACACUUUCGGUCAGCACCAGUCAAGGUUGGUCAACGCCCAACCCAUGAAGGUCAACGCUGACUCCAAAAAAAAAAAAAAAAAAAAAAAAAAUCUGGGCGGCCAAAUUUUCUCUGGACACCCAGAUAUCUUCUCUGGGCACCCAUCCAGUUUUCAAACUUCCUGCCAGACUUUGAUCCGCCAGCUGCAACUUCACCGCCCGACCCCCAGUCGCUCCGACCAGCUGCAUCUUCCAUCUCCGCCAAGCCACAACCCCACAAGGAGAAACCGCUAGACUAACCUCCGCCGGCCUCCGUUGAGUUCCGGGACCGCCGCUAGCCAUCUCUGCCGGCACUGAGCCUCCGCCGCUAGCAAACAACAUUGCCGUCUCCGCCGGACUGUGCGCCGCCAACCUAUUAUAGAGCAACUUGCGGUCCGUUCCAGGUCUCCACCGACUCUCCGCUCCGCCAACCGGCAGACACCGCUAGGAUAUACCAGCGGCAAAAACCUCCGCCAGCUGCAACUCCUCCGCUCCGCCCAACUUGCGUCUCCGCCGGCCUCAAGCUCCACCUCAGCUGACAAGCUCUUCCGCUGACAAGCUUCUCUUCCUCCAGCGAGCACAGCCCGGUGCUCCGUCAGCGACAACCCUGUCCACCAACGAGCCUUCCGCUAGCUAUCCUCAGCGGCGGCACACCGCUGCACCCCAGUUCCGCCGGGAAACCUCCGCCAAAUUGCAGAGCAAACCAACGCUUCACCGCUGAGCUUCCCCGCCGGAAAGCUUCACCGCUGGGCAGCCUCCACUUGAUCUGGACACCCACGGAGAGGAUCUGCACACCAAACGAUCUUCACAUCCGGCCACUGACACAACUUCUAUCCAGCAAUCUCCAAAUCCAGAUAAGUGCCUUCAAUUGACAUUUGGCUCCAGUUCAUAACACCUCAACGCUUUGAAUGUCUCUGUGGUUACUGCUCUUCGAACAUAUCUGCAGUAUGAGAUAGCAUAAUUGUUUAUCCACAUAUAUCAUGCUAUUCUUAAUUACUGGCAUGUGCACACUGUCGGCUACGCUUUUGUUAAAAGAGCCACAACCACACACCUACAGCACACGUCACUUAUUUGAACAUGGGCUGUUUUGUAUAAGUACCCUGCCACCUGCUGGGAAUCUUGCCUCUUGCCAUGUUUACAUAUAAAUAAAGAGACAUAUACAUAUAUAUGGGGUGUUCCAGACACCACGUGUCCAACUACCCUUAGGAUGUGACCUGCUAGGCAUGUGUUCUCUACUUCUUUCAUAUCAUCAUGUAUAUCUUUCACUUAUAUACAUGAUACAUCGUUUCAAGAUCAGGGCCACUGCUUAUGUGCAAUGAUAUAUCUUUCACUCAUGUAUAUCUUUCAAUUAUAUACAUGAUAUAAUUAUUUAUGCAAACAAGUACACACAUAGCCACAUAUGUACUUAAUUACUCCAGCAUGGCCAAUACCCGCCACAUAUGUACUUAAUUACUUAAUUACUCGUGUUGGAAAAGCGGCUAUGUCGCUGCACAUGAUAAUUUGUCAGUGAGAAGUAUAAUUGCAAUACCGAGCCUUUGGUAUGUAUUUGGCUACCACUUAUAUCAGAGAUUCGCAUGCUACACUUAGCUUAAAUUAAUACAUCACUUUGCUUACAAUCUUAUCAAAGUACAUAUGCAAAUUAUUUAUGUCGAUUUUACAAAUCCACAUAUUAAUCAUCUAU